AAACAUAAGAGUUUGAUCCUGGCUCAGGACGAACGCUGGCGGCGUGCCUAACACAUGCAAGUCGAGCGGGGAUUACCGGAUGAAGUUUUCGGAUGGAAUCUGGUAAUUCUAGCGGCGGACGGGUGAGUAACGCGUGAG
RNAcentral lists this ribosomal RNA (138 nucleotides) under Candidatus Limiplasma pullistercoris. Its description in RNAcentral is "partial 16S ribosomal RNA". It matches the Rfam family "Bacterial small subunit ribosomal RNA", at positions 1 to 121 of the family's 1533-position model. Lineage: Bacteria; Bacillati; Bacillota; Clostridia; Eubacteriales. The record is from RNAcentral.